Non-coding RNA from Pelobates cultripes (western spadefoot toad), 94 nucleotides. The record is from the annotation of a GenBank genome assembly. Lineage: Eukaryota; Metazoa; Chordata; Amphibia; Anura; Pelobatidae.
GGGUUGGCUGUAGCUCAGCAGUUACUUCUCUGACAUUCAAAGCUGAAUAAUCCUCUUGGGGGUUUGAAUCCCGCGGGCGCUAUCUAACCUUUUU